RNAcentral lists this ribosomal RNA (142 nucleotides) under uncultured bacterium. RNAcentral's name for it is "partial 16S rRNA". It matches the Rfam family "Bacterial small subunit ribosomal RNA", at positions 355 to 511 of the family's 1533-position model. The record is from RNAcentral.
UGGGGAAUUUUUCCGCAAUGGGCGAAAGCCUGACGGAGCAAUGCCGCGUGGAGGUGGAAGGCCUACGGGUCGUCAACUUCUUUUCUCGGAGAAGAAACAAUGACGGUAUCUGAGGAAUAAGCAUCGGCUAACUCUGUGCCUG